RNAcentral lists this ribosomal RNA (735 nucleotides) under Cataractocoris shepardi. RNAcentral's name for it is "SSU rRNA". It matches the Rfam family "Eukaryotic small subunit ribosomal RNA", at positions 422 to 1079 of the family's 1831-position model. The record is from RNAcentral. Lineage: Eukaryota; Metazoa; Arthropoda; Insecta; Hemiptera; Naucoridae.
AAGGCAGCAGGCACGCAAAUUACCCACUCCCGGCACGGGGAGGUAGUGACAAAAAAUAACGAUACGGGACUCAUCCGAGGCCCCGUAAUCGGAAUGAGUACACUUUAAAUCCUUUAACAAGGAUCCAAUGGAGGGCAAGUCUGGUGCCAGCAGCCGCGGUAAUUCCAGCUCCAUUAGCGUAUAUUAAAGUUGUUGCGGUUAAAAAGCUCGUAGUUGGUUCUGCGUCCCACGAUGCUGGUUCACCGCCUGACGGUGCAACUGGCAUGCCGUGGGAUGUCCUGUCGGUGGUGGCCUUGGCCCACGGCGUGUCUAGGUACUACUCCGAAGCACGUCGUGUGUCGCCAAGGAUCGCCGAUCCAAUCCUGCCUCGGUGCUUUUUAUCGAGUGUCGAGGUGGGCCGACACGUUUACUUUGAACAAAUUAGAGUGCUCAAAGCAGGCUAAUUAUGCCUGGAUAUUGGUGCAUGGAAUAAUGGAAUAUGACCUCGAUUCUAUUUUGUUGGUUUUCGGAAUCCGAGGUAAUGAUCAAUAUGGACAGGCGGGGGCAUUCGUAUUGCGACGUUAGAGGUGAAAUUCUUGGAUCGUCGCAAGACGGACUAGAGCGAAAGCAUUUGCCAAGUAUGUCUUAGUUGAUCAAGAACGAAAGUUAGAGGUUCGAAGGCGAUCAGAUACCGCCCUAGUUCUAACCAUAAACGAUGCCAGCCAGCGAUCCGCCGAUGUUCCUCCGAUGACUCGG